Molecule: ribosomal RNA, 468 nt
Filed under: uncultured bacterium
Lineage: Bacteria
Description: partial 16S ribosomal RNA
Rfam family: Bacterial small subunit ribosomal RNA
Source: RNAcentral
GACGAACGCUGGCGGCGUGCUUAACACAUGCAAGUCGAACGGAAAGGCCCUGCUUUUGUGGGGUGCUCGAGUGGCGAACGGGUGAGUAACACGUGAGUAACCUGCCCUUGACUUUGGGAUAACUUCAGGAAACUGGGGCUAAUACCGGAUAGGAGCUCCUGCUGCAUGGUGGGGGUUGGAAAGUUUCGGCGGUUGGGGAUGGACUCGCGGCUUAUCAGCUUGUUGGUGGGGUAGUGGCUUACCAAGGCUUUGACGGGUAGCCGGCCUGAGAGGGUGACCGGCCACAUUGGGACUGAGAUACGGCCCAGACUCCUACGGGAGGCAGCAGUGGGGAAUAUUGCACAAUGGGCGGAAGUCUGAUGCAGCAACGCCGCGUGCGGGAUGACGGCCUUCGGGUUGUAAACCGCUUUCGCCUGUGACGAAGCGUGAGUGACGGUAAUGGGUAAAGAAGCACCAGCUAACUACGUG